Molecule: long non-coding RNA, 314 nt
Organism: Ornithodoros turicata
Lineage: Eukaryota; Metazoa; Arthropoda; Arachnida; Ixodida; Argasidae
Exons: 3
Source: RefSeq, a predicted model, not a curated record
GUGCUAUUAAGAACAUCUCACAUACUUUGUUGAAUGAUUCAAGAUGACCACAAGUUCUUUGGAUCUGUCGUUGCUGGGAACAGCGAUCCUGCGAAGUGGCACUGGUUGCCUACCAGCUAGCCUCUGUCCGAGCAGGCCACUUCACCGUUACUUGAAGCUGCUGCCGGCUAAAAGAAGCUGAGCAAGCUCCGUGCGCAUAUGCCCACUGAUGUAACCUGGAGGUAAAUUAUCUCGCUGAUGUGUUAGAUUUACUUCUUUGCAUACUUCAGUGCUCCAAGAUACUGAAUGCUAAACCGCUCUGCUGUAAAUUUUGU